Molecule: ribosomal RNA, 732 nt
Filed under: uncultured Curtobacterium sp.
Lineage: Bacteria; Bacillati; Actinomycetota; Actinomycetes; Micrococcales; Microbacteriaceae
Description: bacterial SSU rRNA
Rfam family: Bacterial small subunit ribosomal RNA
Source: RNAcentral
AACAGGAUUAGAUACCCUGGUAGUCCAUGCCGUAAACGUUGGGCGCUAGAUGUAGGGACCUUUCCACGGUUUCUGUGUCGUAGCUAACGCAUUAAGCGCCCCGCCUGGGGAGUACGGCCGCAAGGCUAAAACUCAAAGGAAUUGACGGGGGCCCGCACAAGCGGCGGAGCAUGCGGAUUAAUUCGAUGCAACGCGAAGAACCUUACCAAGGCUUGACAUACACCGGAAACGGCCAGAGAUGGUCGCCCCCUUGUGGUCGGUGUACAGGUGGUGCAUGGUUGUCGUCAGCUCGUGUCGUGAGAUGUUGGGUUAAGUCCCGCAACGAGCGCAACCCUCGUUCUAUGUUGCCAGCGGGUUAUGCCGGGGACUCAUAGGAGACUGCCGGGGUCAACUCGGAGGAAGGUGGGGAUGACGUCAAAUCAUCAUGCCCCUUAUGUCUUGGGCUUCACGCAUGCUACAAUGGCCGGUACAAAGGGCUGCGAUACCGUAAGGUGGAGCGAAUCCCAAAAAGCCGGUCUCAGUUCGGAUUGAGGUCUGCAACUCGACCUCAUGAAGUCGGAGUCGCUAGUAAUCGCAGAUCAGCAACGCUGCGGUGAAUACGUUCCCGGGCCUUGUACACACCGCCCGUCAAGUCAUGAAAGUCGGUAACACCCGAAGCCGGUGGCCUAACCCUUGUGGAAGGAGCCGUCGAAGGUGGGAUCGGUGAUUAGGACUAAGUCGUAACAAGGUAAC